CAGGCAGGGAGGUGGGACCAUG
RNAcentral lists this microRNA (22 nucleotides) under Homo sapiens (human). RNAcentral's name for it is "hsa-miR-6808-5p". The record is from miRBase by way of RNAcentral. Lineage: Eukaryota; Metazoa; Chordata; Mammalia; Primates; Hominidae.